RNAcentral lists this unclassified non-coding RNA (238 nucleotides) under Hevea brasiliensis (rubber tree). Lineage: Eukaryota; Viridiplantae; Streptophyta; Magnoliopsida; Malpighiales; Euphorbiaceae. The record is from RNAcentral.
CAAAGCAAACAGCUAAAAAGAUGGAAGGCGUGGAUAUUGCUUUGGUCAAUGAGGACAAGGGGAAUGAAGUAGAUCAUGGCUUGGAUUCUAAUGCCGAUCCCAAACCUGCCUAUAAUAAAGAUGACUUCUUUGAUAAUAUAUCCCGCAAUACAGUUGCUCGUGGAGGUAGAAAUGGACAGAAUCGCAUUUCUCAGAGGAUGAGGCAGGAUAGUGAGACUUUCGGUAACCAUCAACAAAG